This 484-nucleotide ribosomal RNA is filed under the name uncultured bacterium. RNAcentral's name for it is "bacterial SSU rRNA". It matches the Rfam family "Bacterial small subunit ribosomal RNA", at positions 28 to 507 of the family's 1533-position model. The record is from RNAcentral.
GAUGAACGCUAGCGGGAGGCUUAACACAUGCAAGUCGAGGGGCAUCACGAGGUAGCAAUACUUUGGUGGCGACCGGCGCACGGGUGAGUAACACGUAUGCAACCUACCCUGUACAGGGGGAUAACCCGGAGAAAUUCGGACUAAUAUUCCAUGCAAUUAUUGGAGGGCAUCCUUUGAUAAUUAAAGCUCAGGCGGUAUAGGAUGGGCAUGCGGAACAUUAGCUAGUUGGUAGGGUAACGGCCUACCAAGGCUACGAUGUUUAGGGGACCUGAGAGGGUUAUCCCCCACACUGGUACUGAGACACGGACCAGACUCCUACGGGAGGCAGCAGUGAGGAAUAUUGGUCAAUGGGCGCAAGCCUGAACCAGCCAUCCCGCGUGAAGGAGAAGGCCCUAUGGGUUGUAACUUCUUUUCCAGGGGGUGAAUAAUUCCGAUGUAUCGGGAGAUGACGGUACCCUGGGAAUAAGCAUCGGCUAACUCCGUG